Molecule: ribosomal RNA, 253 nt
Filed under: uncultured bacterium
Lineage: Bacteria
Description: partial 16S ribosomal RNA
Rfam family: Bacterial small subunit ribosomal RNA
Source: RNAcentral
GACAGAGGUGCCAAGCGUUAGGCGGAAUCACUGGGCUUAAAGCGUGUGUAGGCGGAUCGUUAAGUACCUUGUGAAAUCCCACGGCUCAACCGUGGAACUGCUGGGUAUACUGGCGAUCUUGAGCCACCUAGGGGCGAGCGGAACAAGCGGUGGAGCGGUGAAAUGCGUAGAUAUCAUUUGGAACGCCAAUGGUGAAAACAGGUAGCUGGGAGUGUGCUGACGCUGAGACACGAAAGCCAGGGGAGCGAACGGG